AGUCGAACGAGAAAGUGAUUUUCGGAUCGCGAGUAAAGUGGCGAACGGGUGAGUAACGCGUGGGCAAUCUGCCCUCGAGUGGGGGAUAACAUUCCUAACGGGAUGCUAAUACCGCAUAAUAUCGCGUGGCCGCAUGGCCGUGUGAUCAAAGAUGGCCUCUGCUUGCAAGCUGUCGCUUGAGGAUGAGCCCGCGUACCAUUAGCUUGUUGGUGGGGUAACGGCCUACCAAGGCAGCGAUGGUUAGCCGGCCUGAGAGGGUGUCCGGCCACACUGGGACUGAGAUACGGCCCAGACUCCUACGGGAGGCAGCAGUAGGGAAUCUUGCGCAAUGGGGGAAACCCUGACGCAGCAACGCCGCGUGGGUGAUGAAGCUCUUCGGAGCGUAAAACCCUGUCAGGAGGGAAGAACUGGUCACCGACCCAACACGUCGGCGACGUGACGGUACCUCCAGAGGAAGCUCCGGCUAACUCCGUGCCAGCAGCCGCGGUAACACGGGGGGAGCGAGCGUUGUUCGGAA
Molecule: ribosomal RNA, 517 nt
Filed under: uncultured bacterium
Lineage: Bacteria
Description: bacterial SSU rRNA
Rfam family: Bacterial small subunit ribosomal RNA
Source: RNAcentral